This 500-nucleotide ribosomal RNA is filed under the name uncultured bacterium. Its description in RNAcentral is "partial 16S ribosomal RNA". It matches the Rfam family "Bacterial small subunit ribosomal RNA", at positions 30 to 523 of the family's 1533-position model. The record is from RNAcentral.
AUUGAACGCUGGCGGCAUGCCUUACACAUGCAAGUCGAACGGCAGCACGGGAGCAAUCCUGGUGGCGAGUGGCGAACGGGUGAGUAAAGUAUCGGAACGUGCCCAGUCGUGGGGGAUAACGUAGCGAAAGUUACGCUAAUACCGCAUACGAUCUAUGGAUGAAAGCGGGGGAUCGCAAGACCUCGCGCGAUUGGAGCGGCCGAUAUCAGAUUAGGUAGUUGGUGGGGUAAAGGCUCACCAAGCCGACGAUCUGUAGCUGGUCUGAGAGGACGACCAGCCACACUGGGACUGAGACACGGCCCAGACUCCUACGGGAGGCAGCAGUGGGGAAUUUUGGACAAUGGGCGAAAGCCUGAUCCAGCCAUGCCGCGUGCAGGAUGAAGGCCUUCGGGUUGUAAACUGCUUUUGUACGGAACGAAAAGGUUUGGGCUAAUAAGCUGAGCUCAUGACGGUACCGUAAGAAUAAGCACCGGCUAACUACGUGCCAGCAGCCGCGGUAA